CCGGGUGUAGCUCAACCAGGUAGAGCACCUGCUUUGGGAGCAGGUGGCUGCACGUUCAACUCGUGCCACCCGGACCA
RNAcentral lists this transfer RNA (77 nucleotides) under Roseateles asaccharophilus. RNAcentral describes it as "tRNA-Pro". It matches the Rfam family "tRNA". Rfam says of the family: Transfer RNA (tRNA) molecules are approximately 80 nucleotides in length. Their secondary structure includes four short double-helical elements and three loops (D, anti-codon, and T loops). Lineage: Bacteria; Pseudomonadati; Pseudomonadota; Betaproteobacteria; Burkholderiales; Sphaerotilaceae. The record is from RNAcentral.